UCGAGAAAGCAUCUCAGUUUCCGAGAGGGGCGAUUGUCACUGAAAAUGUCAAGCAAAGCUCGUGCAGUUUACGACUCAGUUAUCAAUCGAAGAAGGCACCUUCUUCAGGCCGGAGAUGAAGAAGUUGUGGUGAAGGACAUUGUGGUUGUGAGCCAAGAUGGAACCGGAAACUUCACUACCAUCAAUGAUGCUAUCAAUGCUGCCCCCAAUAACACUGUUGCAAGUGAUGGAUACUUCUUGGUAUAUAUCACUGCCGGCGUUUAUGAGGAGUAUGUAUCAAUUAUAUCGAAAAAGAAGUACUUGUUGCUGAUCGGAGACGGUAUUAAUCAGACAAUCAUCACCGGAAGCAACAGUGUCGGAGGCGGUUCAACCACCUUCAACUCUGCCACUUUAGGUGAGUUUCAUUUACUAUACUAAUGUAAUUUCGAUAUUGUAACUGUGACACAGAUUUGUACGUUUACAAAAGGAUGACUACUAAUUAACAUGAACUGUACAUCAUAUUGCAGCUGUGGUAGCAACAGGGUUUAUUGCAGUGAACAUAACUGUUCGAAACACUGCUGGACCAAGCAUGGGGCAAGCAGUUGCAGUUCGAAACGGCGCCGACUUGUCAGUUUUCUACAGCUGCAGCUUUGAGGGAUACCAAGACACCUUAUACACACAUUCUAUGAGACAAUUCUACAGAGAAUGUGACAUCUACGGAACGGUUGAUUUCAUAUUCGGAAAUGCUGCAGUUGUUUUCCAAAACUGCAACAUAUACCCUCGCCAGCCCCGACAAGGCCAGACGAAUCCUAUCACAGCGCAGGGCCGAACAGACCCGAAUCAGAACACAGGGACUUCAAUCCAGAAUUGCACCAUUACAGCCGCAGAUGAUUUGGCUUCGAGUAACUUCACUGUCAAGACAUAUCUAGGGAGGCCAUGGAAGGAGUACUCGAGGACGGUUUACUUGCAGAAUUUCAUGGAUAGUUUGAUUGAUCCUGCUGGCUGGCUAGCAUGGAGUGGAGAUUUUGCACUGAGCACAUUGUAUUAUGGUGAGUAUGAUAAUAAAGGACCCGGAGCAGACACUAGUAACAGAGUUACAUGGCCUGGUUACCAUAUAAUCGGUGCAACUGAUGCUUCAAAUUUUACAGUGUCAAACUUCGUGUUGGGGGAUAGUUGGUUGCCUCAAACAGGAGUGCCUUACACCGGUGGCUUAAUGUGAGAAAUUUGGUUCAAGUUUUCUUGGAGUUCUUCGAUUCUUGUGAAGACUGAUUGUAUGUAAAAACAUACUUUCCUAGCUAGAUAGCUUUCUUUUGUACAAUCCGGAGACAUUUUUCUCUUCAAAGUGAAUAAGAUUGAUGUUUGAUAUCACAAAUGGGAUUAACGUAAAACAUUGCAUAUGUUGCCUAGUGGAAAUUCCAUCAAAGAUCAUUUGUUGGUAUAUAACCGUUUUUGUUUUCUUGUAGAACUCCAAGACCACACCUUUCCUCUCUUUUCAUUUUUGCUAAACGAAUACUGAGUCAGACGCAGCAAACUUAGGAAUUUACAAUCUUAUUAGUUUUUAGAUAAAAAUGCACUAACGCUAAGCCAAAGUCGAAGAGCAAAGCAAUACAUAAAACAACAGAGGAGAGGCGACAAAGUAGAAGACACCGGCCAAAGAAGGAACCUGAGUUCACCAGAAGUAACCUAUUUGUAACCAAUCGGCCGACUUGUGCCAUUCUCUGAAAAUAUGACUACCAAAAUCUACAAAGACUAGCUUGGCCGCCUAAGACAGUUGUGCCAAGUAACAUGAAACUUCUAUACAUGGAACAAUUAAAUUAAGAGAAUGAACCACCAUAUAUAUUGUAAGUGACUCACAAUUACGAAUCCCCGCCCUCUUCAUGGCACUUGACGAUGCAACCAAAAAUUUUACUUUGCCAAAGGCCUAUCCCAGCAGUUGGACCCCAUGCCAUGCAAAAAAUUAAAUUAUUGGGAAACUAAAAUCCAAUUGGAAAAAAAAAAAAAAUGGGAAUCCCAUAACAAAAUUAAAGAGGUUGAUGUUCAAUCAAAAAAAAAAAAUUAAAGAGGUUGAUGAGUGUUAAUAUUAGGGUCUAUUAUUAAUUUACAUUAAACUUUUUAAAUCCUAAACUCUAAACCCUCAAUUUCUAAAUUUAUUCAUCCUGACCUCUUAUACAGUUACUAGAUCUCUUAAUAUUCUGACUUUGGUGCAUUAUAGAUAUAUUUUAGUACGUACCUGGCUCCAAAUUUCCUCACUUCCUAUUUAUAAUUUAGUUCCACCACAAUUUAUUGGCAAUUAUGCAUCACUACUUACAUAAACAAAAUGUUAAAUACAAAAUUGAGGUUCCAAACGAUGUAUAAAUUAAGAUUUCGCACUUUUGGUAACUUUAGACUUCGAUCACUAGCAAUUUGACAAGCUUCUUGAUACUGGUACUACGUUGCUUAACACCUGAGUUAAAAAUUAGAAAAAGAAAUGACAAGAGCAAGAACAAUUGUUCGUUAAAUAUUGUGUGCAAUUGGGCUAUAGAUCUCUAUUUCUUUGUGCUUGGUUGUCUGUUUUGGGUUUUCUCUGUAACCCGUGGGAGGUUUUGUGCCUCUGCGUAAUAUUUGCAGCUUGAAUAAAGUUGGUUACUACUGGUUAAAAUAUAUAUACAUAUAUAUAUAUAUGAUUUUUCUCAGCUACAAACGUCCGCACCAAUGGUUUUGGUGCGGAUUUUUAUUUUUGCACCACUUUUUGAUCGAAUUUCCUCAUCUCCACCGUCUAAUAUCUAGAUAAUAUUGUGUAGAUCAUCUCUGCAAAAUUUCAGCCAAUUUAGUGAUCGUUAAGGCUCUCAAAAUUGCGUCUUUCUGUUAUAAACAUGAACGGUUCAUGUUUGACAGAAUUCAGUCCGUCCAUUUGUUUUUCGAGUUUGAGAGUCUUAAUGAUUACCAAAUUGGCCGAAAUUUUGCAGAGAUGAUCUACACAAUAUUAUCAAAAUACUAGACGGUAGAGAUGAGGAAAUUCGAUNNNNNNNNNNNNNNNNNNNNUUUAUAUAUAUAUAUAUAUAUAGGAAGGAUAUGAAGCGGACGUCCGCACUUACGGCUUAAAGUGCGGACGUCCGCUUCAUAUUCUGUGUGUAUAUAUGUGUGUGUAUAUAUAUAUAUAUGUUGUGUGCAAUUGGCAUUUGGCUGUAAAAUCUGUGCAGUAUGAUAGACCAAUACUUUUAUUUGGACCAGUCAACGAUUACAUGAAUUUGGUCUCUACAUUAUUGUAUCAAUGCUCAAUGCACCAGAAGAGUUCCAUAUAUAUUCCAAACACCCAUUUCGAUCAUUUAGGUUUCAAUUUUUUUGCAUUUGAUUCCACGAAUGCAAACUGACUUGCUCUGUAUGUGAAUAUAUGUUUAUGCAUUCUUUAUUUUCACUUCAUUAUUCUUAACUGAUUUUGCGAGGUCUAUUUAGGUCUGUGUCUUCUGGUGCCAAAACAUCUUGUAGCUAGCUAGUUCAUGUUUUAAACGUUGACUACAGGCAUUCCUAACCCUUAGCUUGUUCGAUCUCUCAACUUAUGCAGAGAGAAUUGAAUCCACCGGCCAUAUCUAACCCACAAUCCACAUCUCUCUCUUCUUUCCCAAUCAUUUAGGCCACUUCUAAGUCCUAACCUCAGAGAAACUUCGACGUGCAACUUCACCAACAAUGAAAAUGUUUGAAUAAUAUGUCUCUCUAGGUUUUGGACAUCUGAUAUAUAUGUCGCUAAUAUUCCAUUACCUAGACACGCUAUUUUUUUUUUUUGGUCAAUACCUAGACACGCUUAACAGACCUACAAUCGUUGAUAAGUUCCAUUUGAUAUAGAUAUAUAGUUCAUAUCCAGAGCGAAGCUUCGCUUUGAAAUUAAAGUGUGAAGUUCCUUAUUUGACUCACUUUUUCGUCAUAUUUCCACAUCUCCAUUGUUCAGUUUGUAGAACCUAAUACAUAGAUCACUCAUGUCAAGUUUCAUCCAAAUUGGUAAUCGUUAAGGUACCGAAUUAGAUUAAAUCAACGAACGGACCAUAAAUCUGUCUAUUUAUAACUGUUUGUGUAAAUAACAAUUAUGAAAACUCAAACGAUCAUCAAAUUCAAUGAAACUUGGCAGAAGUGAUCUAUGCAGUAGGUUUUACAAACUGAACGGUGGAGAUGUGGAAAUAUGACGAAAAAGUGAGUCAAAUAAGGAACUUCACAUUUUAAUUUCAGAGCGAAGGUUCGCUCUGGAUAGGAACUAUAUAUAUAUAUAUAUAUGACACUUCAAUGACAAGAAUAUAUGAAGGGCUAAAGAAUAUUUGUUAUCUCUACAAAGAAUAAUCUCAUAGGUAGACAAGCUCCCAACAUCUUAUAUUAGGUAAAUAUAGUUUGAGCAAGAAUAGAGGAUUGCAUUUUCAACAUACAUUAGUUCCAUCAUCACACACACACAAAAUGACUUGGUUUGUAUGGGGUGGGCAGACUUUUGACAUCUCUAAUCUAAGUUGUUGCAACGUAAAUAAUUGUCUUUUAUAGUUGAAGGCUUACGAUUAAGAUGGUAAUUUGAAUCAUGUACCUCAUCAAUAAAAUUCAGCAAUUUUUGUCUUGAUAUAAACCGUCGAGCUUGGUAUUCAAUUGCUCAAAGUGAAUAGAUAUAAUGACUUGAGGUGAUAGACAUAACACUUUCUACAAUUCUAUAAACCUUCGAUCACCUUUUCUACCACCAUUAGGCUCAGAUUAGAACAAAAAUGUACUAAACUCGGACAAAAACAACUUCAAAGGUUACUCUCACAAGUAAUAUAUAUAUGUCAUGUCGUCAACUAAUAUUGAUGCCUGAAAAUUAAUUUCAUGACUCAAGAAACGAAUAACCUCAAUCACAAAAUAGUUUAAGUCAUGCACGUUCGUUACUAAUACCCAAAUAAAAUGCAUCCCUCCAAACAUUCUCUCUAAAUUAAAUAUAAUCAAAGUUUCUAUAUCUUCAGCUUAAUUCUCUUAUAUAUAGACAUACACCCCAGUGAACAAAUUCACUUGUGCACGUACAUAACACAUCCCUUAGCUACAAGCGAUCGAUCCUCUCUCAGAUGGCUUCAAAGCUCUACUCUCUUGUAACCCUUUCAUCAAUAUUGUUUCUCACCAUCUUCUCUUUGCUUACCUCUCCAUCUCUAGCUGUAGAUGUUCUUCUAAACACUCCUCUUUCAUCAGAAACCAUAUGCAACUCCACACCACACCCUUCUUACUGUAAAUCUGUCCUCCCUCGCAAAAGCGCCAACGUCUAUGACUUCGGCCGCUUUUCAGUCCAGCAGUCACUUGUUCAAUCCAAAAUUCUUUUGGAUUUGCUCGAAAAAUAUCUCAGUGGCCGGCGUUCUAGUCUAACCUUACCCGCAAUCCAAGCCCUAGAGGAUUGUCACUUCCUUGCUUCGUUAAACAUUGAUUUCUUGUCACAAGCCAUUGGUACCGUCGGAGAGACUAGUAAUGUUCUUCCAAGCUCAGAUGCUGACGAUGUCCAAACCUUGCUCAGUGCCAUUUUAACCAACCAGCAAACUUGUGCUGAUGGCCUUAAUUCUUUGGCCACUGUCCACAACGAUCUCAUAGUCCCACUCUCUAAUGGUACAAAUUUGUACAGUGUCUCUUUAGCUUUGUUUACAAAGGGUUGGGUGCCAAAGGGUGGCAAAAAUAAUGUGACACCAGGUCAAUCCUACAGGCAUCUCAAUUUCAGGAAGGGGCGAUUGUCACUGAAAAUGUCGAGCAAAGUGCGUGCAGUUUACGAUUCAGUUAUAAAUCGAAGAAGGCACCUUCUUCAGGCCGGAGAUGAAGAAGUUGUGGUGAAGGACAUUGUGGUUGUGAGCCAAGAUGGAACCGGAAACUUCACUACCAUCAAUGAUGCUAUCAAUG
Molecule: long non-coding RNA, 5832 nt
Filed under: Fragaria vesca (wild strawberry)
Lineage: Eukaryota; Viridiplantae; Streptophyta; Magnoliopsida; Rosales; Rosaceae
Description: long non-coding RNA (FVES_LNC002353)
Source: RNAcentral